This 350-nucleotide long non-coding RNA is filed under the name Olea europaea (common olive). Its description in RNAcentral is "long non-coding RNA (OEUR_LNC000650)". Lineage: Eukaryota; Viridiplantae; Streptophyta; Magnoliopsida; Lamiales; Oleaceae. The record is from RNAcentral.
UUCAGACAUUAAAUCCCAUGAAUAAAAUCGGCCCGUAAACUUUCAAAGAACUAGGAUCUUGGAACUUGAAUAAAAUGGCUCAAUAAAUUAGAUUGUUUGCCCUAAUAAAAAGAUUUAGCUACUCAUAAUGCAGGAAGAAAAACAAAGAAUAAUAUUGGAGUACAUCACCCUGUUUUGAAAUGAGAUAUAGAGAAGUGGAUGAAUCUUGUACCUAGUUUCUCAUCUUGCUCCAAAUCUUGAUUCCAAACUCUAACUCUUGAUUUCUUGUUCUUUUUCUUUGAUUUCCUCUUCUUCUUCAAUGAUUUCUCUUUGAUUCUCCAAUGGUAUUUACAUCUUCUUGAAGUCCUCUG